Long non-coding RNA from Peromyscus californicus insignis, 2487 nucleotides. RefSeq lists it as uncharacterized. The transcript is spliced from 2 exons. Lineage: Eukaryota; Metazoa; Chordata; Mammalia; Rodentia; Cricetidae. The record is from RefSeq and is a predicted model, not a curated record.
CUCCCUGGUCAACAGCAUUGCCCAUCAGUCCAUCUCUUCCCUCCUGAGUGCUUGCUACCGUUGCCCCUCAAGAAGACCCCGGGCAUCUGCCCCCUUGCUUGAUCUCCAUGGGCACCACCAAGUGUUCCGCGCGUCACUUAAGUUCCCAGUCCUCGAGGGUGCCUCAGGAGGCAGAGAGAAAGCAGCCGGACUGGGCCCUAGGGGCCAGGGAUCCUGGGUAACGCAGAUCCUUGGGUUUCAACAAAGGCCUCUGCGCAGGCGCUGCAACUACAACUGUGUGCAUCUUGGGGAGGAUGGAGUGUGUGUGUGUGUGUGUGUGUGUGUGUGUGUGCGCGCGCGCGCGCGCGAGCGUGUGAAACUCGAAACAUCUAUUUAUCGUCCAGGUGGCACCUGCAAGCAAAGGCGUGGCUUCUCAGAAAGCUCCAUUAAGAAAUCCGAGCUGGUGAAUUAAAAAGUUAGCUUCCUCUGCCGGCGCUAUCUUCUGAGCACAGAUUUGCCAAUGCUGAGGCAGAGCCUCAAACCCUAGGCCACUGUGGGAAAUUAGGGGGACUGGGCGGCUGGGGUGCAGGCUGUAGAGUAGGGGAGCAUUGCCGGCUCUGUUUUAUGUCACUAUCCCCAGUCCUGACCUCAGGACGUCUGGGCUGCCCCUGUAAUGUAAAUCAGCUCCGCUCAGUCCCUGGCUUCUAAUCCUCUUAGGGUCACAUGGCCAUUUUAGAGUGUGGUGUGGAUCUUCUUAAAAUGUGAGGUAUUCAACAUAUUUGAAAACCAGCCUGGGAUUUGAGUCCUGGGACUCAGAUUGAGCGAAUUUUGCUAGUUAUUGUGGCUGGUGACUGCGAGCAUAUAGACUGUACUUUGUCCUUCCCUUCCUGUGUGCAGACUCUCCCUGUCUACAUCCCUACCUGCAGGGGGCUAAAGGUGACCAGCUCAGCCUUUGCUUGUAUUCUUCAACAAUGAUCCAUUCCCUGCCAACUCGGGGUUCCUACGGUUGCUGUUGGAAUACAUGUUUCUUUCCACAGUCCAAAUGCUGGGCACCAUUAGAACUGAGACCAAUAUGUGGGUGCUUCUAAAAGCUUUCACAAACCAAAUGCACGCAAUUCCACCAUAACUCCCAGCUUCUCCAAUCCACUACCGCCCAGGUGAAGAGGUAAACAGCACGUGAGUGGAUAACAACUCUGGGCUAACGGAAGAGACUCUCUCCCCGUCUCAGAGCCAGGCUGGAGAUGAUCGUAUAUUCCCCAAAUGGACAUAAAUUUCAAUGGCGUGUGCUGCACAACUGCCUUCUCAUUGAGUGCGCACAUGCUGGAAAACGGGAUGGUGCUUUGUCCUUUACAGUAAUGCUUUGGGAAUGACUAUGUACCGCAAGCCGCAGAACUCCUAAGUGCUAGCACAGGGUUUCCCAGGAGCCUUUACCAGGUCACGUGGCCGGAAGUGCUGCUGAGACUUGCUUCAGAGCAGAAAGACCUGUGUCACUUGGGCCCUUCCCCCAUCUAGUCCUGGGGGAGGGGACAAGUGCGGAACCAAUAGCUGCUCCCCAAACACGUGGGAGGAGGGGCUGGCCUGAAGACACCUUCCGAGAGCACCUUUAUUAGCUGCUCACUUUUCUCACCUUCUUAUCUUCCAGAGACUGGAAACACAGCACAUGGAGGGAGAGGCUAGCUCCAUCCAAGAGUACAAAUUAGAAGGCGGAGGAAGGAUGCCAUAGCUUUCUGAGGCUUCCCCUGCCUUCAAAGCCCUUGCCCAAGACCAUCUGAGACCCCCCCAGCUCCAGACCACUGCCUCACACUUUGUGCUACUUCAUCAGGCAUCCACAACCCCCCGGUGGGCUCCUGGAGGGCUCAGGAGUGGGGAACUACUUAGUACUAGUAUUGACAUUGCUGUUGCUGUGAACAGGUGCGUCAUAAAAAGGAGAUGCAGUAUUACGGCCAUGCAUGACUCCCCAGCGUGCUGCAUUUCAGCAGAACUGUCAUUUGAGUGACUGCAGAACGUGACUUUAUGUUGUUUCAUGUUUUGAUUCCUUCUUCAAACCACUGGGCUCAGGGAGUCACAGGAAACCUUCAAGGGUGGGAAGGUUUGCAGGAGGACACUGCUCUUCACAGAAAUCUUCAGAGAGAAUUGUUCAGUGCCCCACAAAGAGCCUGGGCUUGCCUGGGAGCCCUAGUUCCUGAGAACAGUGAGCUGCUGCCAGAGAGACACAGGAACCAGGGUCUUCCCUCAAGCCAGGAUGCGAAGCCGCCAAAGGAAGCAGAGACCUCCCAGAGGGAGAGACAAGGAGCCUCAGGGAGCACAGAGCAUUCACACACACAAGGGCCAUCUGUCCAGCUCUGAGUGUCUCCUAACACAGAGCAUCCUGGGGAAUUCACUAAAAUUAAGAGUCUUCUGAGGAAUGCAAAACAUUCCUGGGGUCAGGGGCAGACUGGCCUCUAGCCUGUGGCCUUGACAUGGGAGUCUUGCUACUAAAAGAAAUAAAAGAUGCCUCAGUUGAGUUGA